AUUCCUCAGCAACACUUUCAGGUCCAUGAGUCAACAAAUGUUCUAGCACAAUCACAGCCUUAUAUGACACCCUCCAAUUCUUUCUAUCAAAACUUGACAAUCUAUAUCAUAAAUAAAAAUAACAAUCAAAACAUCAUCAAGCCUGAAAAUAUUAUUCAAGAAACUGCAAAAAGAAAAAAAUUAAAUUUUUUAUAUAUAUAAGAAGGCGAGCCUUGACAUAACUGGUAUAGUUACUGUCAUGUGACCAAAAGGUCACGGGUUCGAGCCGCGGGAACAACCUCUUGCAGAAAUACAUGGUAUAAGGCAGCAUAAAAUAGACCGUUGUGGUACGGCCCUUCCGCGGACCACACGCAUAGCGGGAGCUUAGUGCACCGGACUGCCCUUAUAUAAAUAAAU
This 396-nucleotide long non-coding RNA is filed under the name Nicotiana tabacum (common tobacco). RNAcentral describes it as "long non-coding RNA (NTAB_LNC005250)". The record is from RNAcentral. Lineage: Eukaryota; Viridiplantae; Streptophyta; Magnoliopsida; Solanales; Solanaceae.